This 254-nucleotide ribosomal RNA is filed under the name uncultured bacterium. RNAcentral's name for it is "partial 16S ribosomal RNA". It matches the Rfam family "Bacterial small subunit ribosomal RNA", at positions 524 to 777 of the family's 1533-position model. The record is from RNAcentral.
UACGGAGGGUGCAAGCGUUAUCCGGAUUCACUGGGUUUAAAGGGUGCGUAGGUGGGCAGGUAAGUCAGUGGUGAAAUCUCCGGGCUUAACCCGAAAACUGCCAUUGAUACUAUCUGUCUUGAAUACCCUGGAGGUGAGCGGAAUAUGUCAUGUAGCGGUGAAAUGCUUAGAUAUGACAUAGAACACCCAUUGCGAAGGCAGCUCACUACGGGAAUAUUGACACUGAGGCACGAAAGCGUGGGGAUCAAACAGGA